GCACGUAGUUAGCCGGCAGCUUCUUCUGACGGUACCGUCAAUCACCUCGGCUAUUCACCGGAUGACCUUCGUCCCAUCUGAAAGAGGUUUACAACCCUAAGGCCGUCUUCCCUCACGCGGUGUUGCUGCGUCACGCUUUCGCGCAUUGCGCAAGAUUCCCCA
Molecule: ribosomal RNA, 162 nt
Filed under: uncultured bacterium
Lineage: Bacteria
Description: partial 16S ribosomal RNA
Source: RNAcentral